RNAcentral lists this ribosomal RNA (326 nucleotides) under uncultured bacterium. Its description in RNAcentral is "bacterial SSU rRNA". It matches the Rfam family "Bacterial small subunit ribosomal RNA", at positions 28 to 334 of the family's 1533-position model. The record is from RNAcentral.
GAUGAACGCUGGCGGCGUGCUUAACACAUGCAAGUCGAACGAAGCAUAUCUACGGAGCUCCUUCGGGAAGGAAGAAGGUAUGACUGAGUGGCGGACGGGUGAGUAACGCGUGGGUAACCUGCCCCAUACAGGGGGAUAACAGUUAGAAAUGACUGCUAAUACCGCAUAAGCGCACAGUAGCGCAUGUUACAGUGUGAAAAACUGAGGCGGUAUGGGAUGGGCCCGCGUCUGAUUAGCCAGUUGGCGGGGUAACGGCCCACCAAAGCGACGAUCAGUAGCCGACCUGAGAGGGUGACCGGCCACAUUGGGACUGAGACACGGCCCAA